This 641-nucleotide ribosomal RNA is filed under the name uncultured bacterium. RNAcentral describes it as "bacterial SSU rRNA". It matches the Rfam family "Bacterial small subunit ribosomal RNA", at positions 74 to 714 of the family's 1533-position model. The record is from RNAcentral.
AGGUUUUCGGACCUAGAGACCGGCGCACGGGUGCGUAACGCGUAUGCAAUCUACCUUUUACAGAGGGAUAGCCCAGAGAAAUUUGGAUUAAUACCUCAUAGUAUUAUUGAAUGGCAUCAUUUAAUAAUUAAAGUCACAACGGUAAAAGAUGAGCAUGCGUCCCAUUAGCUUGUUGGUAAGGUAACGGCUUACCAAGGCAACGAUGGGUAGGGGUCCUGAGAGGGAGAUCCCCCACACUGGUACUGAGACACGGACCAGACUCCUACGGGAGGCAGCAGUGAGGAAUAUUGGUCAAUGGGCGCAAGCCUGAACCAGCCAUGCCGCGUGCAGGAUGAAGCAUCUAUGGUGUGUAAACUGCUUUUGUACGAGAAGAAACACUCCUACGUGUAGGAGCUUGACGGUAUCGUAAGAAUAAGGACCGGCUAACUCCGUGCCAGCAGUCCGCGGUAAUACGGAGGGUCCAAGCGUUAUCCGGAAUCAUUGGGUUUAAAGGGUCCGUAGGCGGUUUUGUAAGUCAGUGGUGAAAGCCCAUCGCUCAACGGCGGAACGGCCAUUGAUACUGCAAGACUUGAAUUAUUGCGAAGUAACUAGAAUAUGUAGUGUAGCGGUGAAAUGCUUAGAGAUUACAUGGAAUACCAAUU